UGUUUUUACACUCACAAGAACACCACACUUGUGUUUGAAUAUUGCUUACAAAGAAUUUUUGAAUAUCCUCUCUAUCGCACCUGACUUUAUUUGAUGGACACGAGAAGAUUUGAGUCUGAUAACGUCCCUAGUCCACUGCACUUUAAAAGGUAAAAUCUUAUCCUUCUAUUUAAUUAAACCAUUUGCGGUUGUGUUAGAAAAUAAUGAGUUAUGUAUUAUUUUUUUGUCUGUAUUUAUAUUACAAUGUAUUAAUAUAUUUUUGGUAUUUACUGUGAUAUGAUUAUCUCUCUUUAGUUGUGGGAAAUCUGAUUUGUAUCAUAUAAAUGGAGUUAUCAUGUACAACUCUAUGUUCUGCUGGAUUAAAAACUACCCCAUGCUAAUUUAGUCUUAAAAAAUGAUAAAUUGACUACUUUGGUUAAGAAUUAGAUAUGCUACUAUGUAGAAACUUUAUUUACUAGCACAUGCUAAACUAAGGAUCUUGAACUAUGAUUUGAUAUAAUAACAGUGAAAUGAUAAUUUGCUCUCUAUUGCAUUUUUUAGAGAUAAUUUAUGGGCGAUGUUUUGUAUUUACUUAGUUUGUGCCAAGUACGUGAAAUAUCAAGUUUUGUUUAGAUGAGAAUGUAAUAUGUUCCUAGGGAUGAUGAAUAUAAUUUUCGAAUGACUAUUAUCCUCUUUCUAACUCUUUUCUAAUGUUUAUUUAAUAUGAAAAUUGGAGCCGAGGAGUCUCAUUUUGAGACUCAACGACGCCACUACCGCACAGAGCUUGCAUAUCCUUUACAUGGAGUCCGCACACCUUACUAUUAAUGUUCAAAUGUCGAAUAACAUGGGAGAUUCUUUCCUUCUCUUAAAGCCGAGCAUAACUAUUAAUUACCUCAUUUAUCUCAGCUUGUUUUAUUUAUUUGUGUUGAUGUGAUUAAUGUUUUUAUCUCUAUUUAUGUGUUUCCUGAUAUGUAAGAAAUUUCAUUGACCCCAUACAGUAGCUAUGAAUACUUACUUUUAUCACUUAAAGAGAGCCUUUAUUUUUAAAAUAUAAGAAACCAAAAUACUAAAGUUAGAAAUGUUCCUCAUUAAAAUUUUCUUGUAGUUACUCACUUCGCUUUCAAGUACUUUUGUUAACAACAAACCACAAC
Molecule: long non-coding RNA, 1130 nt
Filed under: Solanum tuberosum (potato)
Lineage: Eukaryota; Viridiplantae; Streptophyta; Magnoliopsida; Solanales; Solanaceae
Description: long non-coding RNA (STUB_LNC008073)
Source: RNAcentral